This 24-nucleotide non-coding RNA is filed under the name Arabidopsis thaliana (thale cress). Lineage: Eukaryota; Viridiplantae; Streptophyta; Magnoliopsida; Brassicales; Brassicaceae. The record is from RNAcentral.
UGAUAACAUGUAUUGCCUCUGUGA